RNAcentral lists this ribosomal RNA (253 nucleotides) under uncultured bacterium. RNAcentral describes it as "partial 16S ribosomal RNA". It matches the Rfam family "Bacterial small subunit ribosomal RNA", at positions 524 to 776 of the family's 1533-position model. The record is from RNAcentral.
UACGUAGGGUGCGAGCGUUGUCCGGAAUUAUUGGGCGUAAAGAGCUUGUAGGCGGUUUGUCGCGUCUGCUGUGAAAUUUCGGGGCUCAACCCCGAACUUGCAGUGGGUACGGGCAGACUAGAGUGUGGUAGGGGAGACUGGAAUUCCUGGUGUAGCGGUGAAAUGCGCAGAUAUCAGGAGGAACACCGGUGGCGAAGGCGGAUCUCUGGGCCUUACCUGACGCUCAGGCGCGAAAGCUAGGGGAGCGAACUGG